UUUUAAAUCGAGGCGUUUGCCGAUAUUAUUAUUUCGGCAUUUUCUUCAGACGUUUAUACCGGUUAAUUGCCCCGGAUAGUCAAUUUACCACAUUCAUCGAGUUGAAUCUAAGAUUAAAUACUGAAUACCACCACAUACAGUGUUCUUUUUCGACACGAUCGGUCCGCUAUCUGUUUCCAGAACAGAAAAGUAAAUUGACCUACACUUUGGUCUUUGCUAGUAGCAGAUGCAGAUGGAGAUGACUGGUACUGGACAUCGAACUAAAUCCACGUUCAAAAUUGGUCGCACUAAAGUCUCAUCUGUAUUUCAACCGGCUUAAGAAAGUUUAUUGUAUGUCAACACGGCAUGUACGUCCGUUUUCUGAAAAAGGAAGGGCUCUUUUUGAAGAGAUAAUUGAUGACUUUAGGAAGCGCUGUUCUGCUUCAUGGCGCAAAGUGACUGAAAGUUUGUGCAUAGUAAGUAGUUUAACUUAUGAGAGUCUUGUUUGUGAAAUCAACCUGAUUGAACAGCAAUUACCUAUGAAAGUUACAUAAAAGUUAAAGACGAAUUUGAAAUGAACUUAAAAAAUGUGAAAAGUGAAGCAAGUCUUAAAGAAUUAUCGGCUCUCACUACAGACGUGUCGCUACAGGAAAAAGCAAAAUUACACGCGCUGGAAAAGAUUGACCAAAAUAAACAAUCAAUAUUUAAAAAAGUCAUGUCCAGCAUGAAGCCAAACUCUGUCCAUGAUGGUGUGAAGACACUAGCCGUACGAGUGAACUCAUCGCAUUGAAACAAGCAGAAGCCGAAUCUGCCAAGAUAAAAAUGAAAUAUACUCAACAAGAAGCAGCUCUUUUGAAACAAAAGGCAGAAUCAGAAGCGAAUCUUCAAGUACUUUCUCAGCAAAAAGCUUUUGAAGCCGACGCUGCAGAAGUAAAGGUACUACAAGAGCAUGAUGUCGAAGGCUCUGAUGGGUCAGAAAGUCAUGUUGCACCAGACAUUAAAUUCAAAUUGCAAACUUUGCCUGUUCUAAAACCUGACAAUCUAGUUCAAGAAUUCAUCAAGAAAUCCACAAACAAUCCAACAGUAUCUGACACUUAUAUGGGAGAAAAUCUGUGCAAAUUUCUCCUUAAAGACUAGGCUCUCUCGCGACUGACUAUAUUUAGUGACAAAACUGACUUUUUAUCCCUGGAAAUGUUUGUAUUAAUAUGUAAAAUAAUGACAAUUUAUAAUAGCUGUAUUAAUACAAGUAUCAAAAAUGUUGAUUUUUAAUGCAAAAAAUGACUUUGUUUGUGAAAAUGUUCAUUUUAAUACGAACAAAGAUGACAGUUAAUAAUAGUUCGUAUUAAUACGAAAUAUAAAAAAUGUUGAUUGUUAAUGCAAAAAAAAGACCUUUUCCCUGAAAAUGUUCGUAUAAAUACCAGCAAUGAUGACAUCUAUGAAUUUAUCAAGUAUUUCUGAAAAAAAAUUAUAGUGCGUAAAUUUACGAAGUAUGGUUAUGUUAAGAAUCUAUGAAUUAAACAAGUAUUUCUGUUUUUUUUUAAGUGCGUAAAUUUACGAAGUCUGGUUUUGUUAAGAAUCUAUGAGUUCACCAAGUAUUUCUGAAAUUGUUUAAUAAUGCGUAAAUUUAGGAAGUCUGGUUUUGCUAUGAAUUUGCCAAGUACCGAGUAUUUCUGAAAAUAUAUAAUAGUGUGUAAAUGUACGACGUAUGUUAAGAAUAUAUGAACUGACCAAGUACAUGACUUUGUAUUUCUCAAAAUUGUUAAUGGAGCAUUAAUUUACGAAAUAUGUUUUUGUUGAGAAUAUAUGAAUUGACAAAGAACGGGGUAUUUCUGAAAAAAUAUAAUAGUGCGUAAAUUUACGAAGUAUGGUUUAAA
This is a long non-coding RNA of Dreissena polymorpha, 1853 nucleotides long. RefSeq lists it as uncharacterized. The record is from RefSeq and is a predicted model, not a curated record. Lineage: Eukaryota; Metazoa; Mollusca; Bivalvia; Myida; Dreissenidae. The transcript is spliced from 2 exons.